GCCAGAGUGAUGUAGUGGUUUUAUCGUUGGACUACAAAUCUGGAGACCAGGGUUCGAAUCCCGGCUCAGCCA
This is a non-coding RNA of Phrynosoma platyrhinos (Desert horned lizard), 72 nucleotides long. The record is from the annotation of a GenBank genome assembly. NCBI's taxonomy places the organism in Eukaryota, Metazoa, Chordata, Lepidosauria, Squamata, Phrynosomatidae.